Molecule: ribosomal RNA, 496 nt
Filed under: uncultured bacterium
Lineage: Bacteria
Description: partial 16S ribosomal RNA
Rfam family: Bacterial small subunit ribosomal RNA
Source: RNAcentral
GAUGAACGCUGGCGGCGUGCCUAACACAUGCGAGUCGAGCGAACAGAUAAGGAGCUUGCUCCUUUGAAGUUAGCGGCGGACGGGUGAGUAAAACGUGGGUAACAUACCUCUAAGACUGGGAUACAUUCGGGAAACCGGACCUAAUACCGGACAAUAUUUCGAACCGCAUGGUUCGAUAGUGAUAGAAGGUUUUGCUUUCACUUAUAGAUGGACCCGCGCCGUAUUAGCUAGUUGGUAAGGUAGCGGCUUAGCAAGGCGACGAUACGUAGCCGACCCGAGAGGGUGAUCCGCCACUGGGAAACUGAGACACGGUCCAGACUCCUACGGGAGACAGGAGUAGGAAAUCUUCCGCAGUGGGCGAAAGCGUGACGGAGCAACGCCGCGAGAGAUAUGAGGGUCUGCGGAGCGUAAAACUCUGUUAUUAGAGGAGAGCAUACGUGUAAGUAACUGUGCACGACUGAACGGUACCGAAUCAGAAGGCCAGGGCAAACUAGUU